Molecule: ribosomal RNA, 253 nt
Filed under: uncultured bacterium
Lineage: Bacteria
Description: partial 16S ribosomal RNA
Rfam family: Bacterial small subunit ribosomal RNA
Source: RNAcentral
GACGAACCGUGCGAACGUUGUUCGGAAUUAUUGGGCGUAAAGAGCUCGUAGGCGGUUUGUCGCGUCGAAUGUGAAAACCCGGGGCUCAACUCCGGGCCUGCAUUCGAUACGGGCAGACUGGAGUGUUGCAGGGGAGACUGGAAUUCCUGGUGUAGCGGUGAAAUGCGCAGAUAUCAGGAGGAACACCGGUGGCGAAGGCGGGUCUCUGGGCAACAACUGACGCUGAGGAGCGAAAGCGUGGGGAGCGAACAGG